AUGGCCUCUCAACAGGAACUCUUAUCCCGUAUGUCUAGAAUUAGAAUCUCACAAAAAGCAAGGUCCUCACACCUCAUCAGAUAUGGAGAGGUUAGAGUACUGGCCAGAAAGUCAGCAUUUUGUAUGGAUAAGGAGCAUCUGAAAGAGGGUAGGGAUUCCAGGCAAAGUGGGUAUCAAGAGAUCUGCUAUGUGGCAGCUUGUAACUUGCUAGUGAAAAGAAAGGAACAAUGCUACACAUGGCAUACUCAAGAUGAAGUGAUGACAAACUUUGUAGAAUGGAUGUUCAUAUAUAGAGAUGAAGGGAUCUUAUCAAGAACAAUUCCACUAUCUGAAUCUGCAGCUCGUGGAACUCUUCAGAUGGAAACUAGCGAUGAAGCGCUGUUGAAGGCAUUGGAGCAGGGCAUCCUCAUUGCCUGCAACAGUUCAGCAAAAGUUCCGGAUGAACAACAAACCCACAGUUUGGUCUCUAACGAGUAUGAACUACCCCCAAUCGAAACGGCAAUUCAUUGACAAGCUAAAG
Molecule: long non-coding RNA, 520 nt
Filed under: Oryza sativa Indica Group (long-grained rice)
Lineage: Eukaryota; Viridiplantae; Streptophyta; Magnoliopsida; Poales; Poaceae
Description: lncRNA OsZS97_01G016510
Source: RNAcentral